GUCUAAGGUAAAGUCGAUGAUUGGGGUGAAGUCGUAACAAGGUAGCCGUAUCGGAAGGUGCGGCUGGAUCACCUCCUUUCUAGGGAGA
This 88-nucleotide ribosomal RNA is filed under the name Veillonella parvula. RNAcentral describes it as "partial 16S ribosomal RNA". The stretch from base 1 to 79 matches the Rfam family "Bacterial small subunit ribosomal RNA", at positions 1455 to 1533 of the family's 1533-position model. The record is from RNAcentral. Lineage: Bacteria; Bacillati; Bacillota; Negativicutes; Veillonellales; Veillonellaceae.